CCCUUAGAUGUUCUGGGCCGCACGCGUGCUACACUGAACGGUUCAAUGGGUAAGGUAGUGCGAAAGCAUGACCUAAUCUCGAAAUCCGUUCGUGCUGGGGAUAGAAGCUUGCAAUUAUCCUUCUUGAACGAGGAAUACCUUGUAAGCGUGAGUCAUCAUCUCACGCUGAAUACGUCCCUGCCCUUUGUACACACCGCCCGUCGCUCCUACCGAUUGAGUGUUCCGGUUAGGCUUUGGGAGAAUGGCCUCAACAUGAGUUUAUCGUGUUUUGCCGUUUGAACUUAGUCAAACCUUAUCACUUAGAGGAAGGAGAAGUCGUAACA
This 323-nucleotide ribosomal RNA is filed under the name uncultured eukaryote. RNAcentral describes it as "partial 18S ribosomal RNA". It matches the Rfam family "Eukaryotic small subunit ribosomal RNA", at positions 1470 to 1796 of the family's 1831-position model. The record is from RNAcentral.